Long non-coding RNA from Ictalurus punctatus (channel catfish), 1500 nucleotides. The record is from Ensembl. NCBI's taxonomy places the organism in Eukaryota, Metazoa, Chordata, Actinopteri, Siluriformes, Ictaluridae.
GUCAGCGGUACAGGCCAAUCGGCACAGCACUACAGGGCCGUGCAGAGAAACUAUCAGGAAAUGGCAGCUCCGCUCUAGCGGUCUUCCUGCAAACCUUUAUACAGCAGGUUUUUGCAUGUUUGGCAGUUUUUUCUGAUCGCUAGUUUUCUACUGGCUUUCACUGACUGUGCGAUUUAUUGGCGUCUUAUAGCGGCGGCGUGCUCCCGAAGAAGCCUGAAUGCGUCACAGCUUCUGGAGCAGUUAUUUCCGAGUGGUUCUUUUUUUUGAGGAAGACUGCGUGGAUUGAGUUGAGGGGCUCUAUCUACCUAAACCCCCCCCCCCCAAAGAAGUCAGAGGAUAGGGGUCACUCGUGUGUCUAUCAUUUGAGCCAUUCGGAGAGCAAGUGCUCAUUCACCUGGGCUUCUGUUUGCUAUAGGUGGAUACUUCUCUGCACAGCCUAUAAUUGAGUCAUCAAUGAGCAAGCGGGGAGCCAGAGCAGACGCAGCUAAAUUGUUAAUGACCGUUGGCUGCACAUUGAUCACCGCGGGACUCUGUCUGAGUUGCCUAACACUGAUGAGGUGUUGGACAGUGGUAGAGAUCGUUCCCCAGAUGGCCGUUGAGUCCGUCCUGGAGGAGAGGCUCUUAAAUACCAGCUUGGUUUGGAUGGAGACCACUCGACCGGCACACACAUUUAUCUACUCCAACAUCUCCCUGGAGGAGUCUGAAAAGGCUGGAGAGAUUGCAAUAAUACCUCUAACAAAGAGUUUGACGGAUCCUCCUGGGCCUGUGUGGGUUUCCUCCAGCUUCUCCAGUUUUCUCUCACCUCUUGAAAACAUGAGGUGGCAGACCUCAUGCAGACCUCAUUUAAUGGCAGACCUAACAGUCUGACAUGUGAGACUACCAUGACUCUGACCAUCACAAAUAUGUUGAUGAUUGAAUGAAUUGUUUCAGCAUGAUUCUGAUGAUCAAACUGAUUUAUAAGGAAUAGUAAACAUGUAUGGUUUGACCAAUGAACCUAACCCAUAACUUGGUUUUGGAUGAAACCAUUGGAACAGAAACAUGUGCAAUUAAAUAGUUGAUCACAUUUCCAUGAUAUCAGUGUGAAGAUAUGCAUUUAAUAAAACAGGCAGUUAACACUACUGUUCCCCAUGUAUUUGGGAGCCAUGAAAGAAGUAGAGCUUCCCCAUGUCGUGAAUAUUACUUUUACCCCUCAGACUUACAGACGUGUUUUUUAAGUAUGCAUACUUAUUUUUUUAAUAUGCAUACUUAUUUUUUUAAGUAUGCAUACUUAAAAUUCUAGUAGUACCCCUCAGACUUACAGACGUAGAUCAAACGUUUUGAAAUGAAAACAUACUGGAAUUUGCGAGUAUAUUUAUUUUGUCAACUUAUGUUUAAGUAUGUAUGUAUGUAAAUUUUGGCAUGCAUACUUAUUUUUUAGGUAUGCAUUCUUACAAUUCUAGUAUAUAUACUUAAAAUUCUAGUAUGCAUAAUUAUUUUUUAAGUAUGCAUGUAAACUUUGUG